GACUGAAGUGGAACAGGUGUUUUUUUUCUUGGUAAUUCAUUAUUAGUGUUUUAAAGGCUGUAGGAGGCAGGGCUUGUUUUGGUUUUCUCUUUUUUAAGUUGGGGAAUAUUAGAGCAUGGAAAACAAUAGGUUUCCCAUUCCAUGAGCAAGCUGUUUGGGACUCUCAGGGCGUUGCUUUUAGCUCAUUAGAUUGAAUCCUGCUGGAGUGAUAGAUGCUGCAGCCACCAUUCAGUGCUGGCAAUCUGGUGUGUCUCCAUGCUUAAUUAGUCAGUGAAAUUAGUCAGCUUGAAAGGCAGCACUUGCCUUGACAGAGGCAUUGAGAGAGAUUGGAUGUAGCGUGUUGGGUUUUCAUGUGGUGAAUGUUUGGGUCCCGGGGGCUGACAGUCAGCUGGGGCACGAAGCAAAGGGGACAGAAGAAGGAGCAUGGCUGAGAGGUGCGGGAAGUGCCUUGCAGAAAAGAGCAAACAGGGUCUGGGUCUGUUGGCACGAGCUUACAAACCACAGGGCACCAUUUCAAGAGCUUAUAGGAGCUGGGCAAACUGAACUCUGGCCUGCUUGCUGAGCAGCUGCCUGCCUGCCUGCCCUCAGAAGCGAUGAGGUAUCACUAUGGGUAUGUAGGGAGAUGACUUUUAAAUACGCCCAGCAGACUUUUUGGGCCUUUGCUGGUGGUAGGCUGCAUGGGAAACACAUGUAAAUUGUGCCCCAGAGUAAGCCACAACUCACACCCACCCGCUCCUUGGCUCUUCUUCAGGAAAGACGGAUCUGUCCCGUUCUCUGCGAGCUGAGUAUCAGUUCUGGUGACAAGAAGCUAUGUAAGUUUGCUCUCAUGGCAGAUGAGGCAAAGAGCAUUCAGGCUGCAUCGGAAAGAGCAUGCCCAAGCAGAUCAGGGAGGCUGCUAUCUCCAUCUACUGAAAAGAGUGAAUUUUCCCCUUGCUCUGGUGCUGAAGGCAUUUAGCUUUGUUCCUGUUUACCACUUGAGGGAUGAGUGGUUACUGGUAUUCACUCGUGCUCCUUGGCUUUGGGAUUGCUCACUACUGCCAUAACACGAGACCGGUGUUUUGAGCCACUGAGGGCCAGGGUCUGAUCUCCUUGUUC
This 1095-nucleotide long non-coding RNA is filed under the name Anas platyrhynchos platyrhynchos (common mallard). Its description in RNAcentral is "lncRNA (ENSAPLG00000018004.1)". The record is from RNAcentral. Lineage: Eukaryota; Metazoa; Chordata; Aves; Anseriformes; Anatidae.